UCGCCCUAACCUAGCAACUCCUCUGGCGGCAGGCGAGCGAGCAGAGAUGAGCGACCGCCGCUGCUCCUGCAGUACCGGCGGGGAACUUAGGAUUCCGGCGAGAAGGGCAGAGGUGGACGCCUAGGGUGGCCGUGGCCGGGUGUCCAUGGCGGAUGGCGGCUGCAGCGGCGACAGCGCAGGAGACCUAUGCGGCCCGCCUGCAGAGCGUCGGCUCUAUGAGAGCGAGCCGGAGAAUUUGGAAGGAGAGAUGGAUGUUCUCUUGGAUCCAAGCACUCUAAGCAAUGAUUGGACGGUUGCUCUUUCAACAUAUUUUAUUAGCAAGGAUGGCAAGUGAAAGUUGGAGCGACUGGAUCAUAUGUCUGACAAAUUGUCCUUGCAGAAUUCGAUUCGGUAUAGCACCAUCGCAGAUGCAGACGACAAGGGGUUCAUCGUGCCAAGCACCUUGGUCCUGCUUCCGUGCGACGACGGCAACGGCUACAGAAACAACCAUGGUGAGCUCCUCUCCUUCCCGCCAGUGGUUGCUCUAAGCUCGUUGUGGCCAUCGUGCCAUGGCUAUGUCUGGUUAGGCUGCUAUAGUCCAUCCUUGCAUAACUAUGGGGCUACUGUUUUUUGUUUGUUUGUUCGUUUAUCUUCCUUGUUAUUAUCAUGCUACCACUAGCUUGCUUUUGAUAGAAACUUGCUGAAUGUAUUGCUGUAAAAUUAAGAACUUGCUGAAUAUAUAUAUCUUUGAGCAGCAACUGAUAGAAUAUAUAUAGCUCAUAUUCAUGUUAAUUCCCAUCCUACUGGAAGUUUGAACCACUUCUUCUUUGCACUCAACAACCAGGCAGCACACCUGAAUAUAUAUGCACAUAUGUAUGUAGUUUCCCAUCACACACAUGGAGCAGUCUUGUUUGUUAUGGGAUGUAGCAUCACCACUUAAUUUGAUCCCUACCUGCCUUCAUGAAAUUCCGACUGAUAUAUGUGGUCUAUGUACCAUUCAUGAUAUGCACUUACAUCGUCAGCUCAUGUUGGUCUUGUUUUAUUUCCAAGGAUGCCUUCCUACUCCUGCUAAUUUGAAUGUCGUAUUGCCUUGUUUCUAGGAUGAUGAAAUUCCAAAUAUCUGGUUGUGGUACGCUGCUCUCUCUUGACACUCAUUUUAUAGCACUAUAGUGUUCAUACAACAUGGACGGUGGGUAAGGACGCCAUGCAAGUAUGUUUGUCCCAGUAUGUCUUGCUUACCCAUUCAAUAUGCACAUCACUUAAUCCAAUUAGGAAAGACAUUUUAGACAAUGUCACGAAUAAGAAGUCGUCUCGAGAAAAGCGACGUCAAGAAUAACCAUAUCUUCCAAUAGGUGGAAGCGGGUGAGCCGAAAGGCAUAGUAGGUUGAGUUGGAGGCGUUGCCUUGCCAAUAGAAGGAGGCAUGGUGUCGAGGGAGAUGGCGCAUCAGAAGAACCCACAACACGCGGAUGACCAAUGUGGUAAACAAGAAGACGAGGGAGAAUCACUAGACAAGCCUCAAUGGACGAGCGAGGUGAGGUAGCCUCAGGUAACGAACGAGGUUGGGAAGCCGCAGGUGAUGGUGGCAUGGGGUCUACAUUAGCAGUACGGAAUGAUACGAUGGGAACGAGGACAAUACAUGAGUGAUAGGUGUAUCGGGAAAAGUGAGGAAAGAAAUAUCCUCAAUGGAGGAUGGACAUACAUAGAAAGGAUGGGACUCAUCAAAAGUCAUCACAUCCCAAAAAAUGAAACGUGCAUCCAAUGACUGAUAGGAUCCCAAUACCAACAACGCUUGCUCAUUAGUCAUCACUAUAGCCUAAGACGACACAGACUGAGUAGUUUGUUUGGUGCGUUCAUGGGGGGCAAGAAGAUCGUAGCAAACACAACUAAACAAACGAAGCACUUAGAAGCCACGAGAACGACCAAAAAAAACGCUUGAGACCCUGCAGAGUAGAGAAGGCCGAAUGUUAAUGGUGGAAGUAGAAACAAUCUCAACCCAAAAGUGAUGCUAAAGAGAGGCGACGAUCAUCAACGCAUGAGCUGCCUUAAGGUGACAAUGCUUGCGCUCAUCAACACCAUUCUGAGCAUGAGCACCAGUGCAAGAGAAUUAAGCAAGUGUGCCCUGCUCAGCAAGGUAUCCGCACAACAAAUGAGAGAUAUACCUACGAGUAGAAUCUGCACGGAAGACACAUAGAAGUGGAAAACAGGGUAUGAACCACGGCGGCAAACUUAUUAGGAUAGAUAAGGCCUUACUACAAGAAGACAUAAAAUAUAUCCAUGUGUGUCGAGAGAAAUCAUCUAUAAAGAUAAUAUAGUAGCGAUGACCUUCUUUUGAGGCAAAGGAAGCUGGACCUCAAACAUUAGAGUGAACAAGAUCGAAGGACGUUGAGACAUAGUCUUGCUAUGAGGAUAACGUACUUAACCUGUUUACCAAGUCGAUAAAUCUGACAGUCUAAAGACACAUUGUUAGAGAUAGAUCCAAGAAGACCACGCCGAACUAAAGAUGAGGUAUGAGAGGCACACAAGUUACCUAGACGAUGAUGCCACAAAUAGCCGGUUGUCUUGGUAAUAGAGGCGAAGAGACUAUCGGUGGUGUCCACAGAGGGAAGGUGAAGCUAGUGAGCUCCCGGAGGCCAUAGUAGUCAUAACACCGAGGACCAGCACCAAGUAAAGCACCCGUGUGAUGAUCCUAAUCGAAACAGUCAAGAAUGACUCUACAACCAGAGUCGACAAUUUAACCACCUGAAAUGAGCUAGUAAGUCAAGGAACAUGAGCCAAAGAAGGAACAAGACAAGACAAAUGCUAAGAGUGCCUUGACUAUCGAUUGGAAGGGAAGUACUAUCGGUAGUAAGAACCUGAACAUGAGAAUCUAGAGGUUUGAAUGGAGAACAUACUUGAAGACUGAUGAGUCAUAUGAAAAGACGCUCUAGUGAAGGAUCAAUGGAAAUCUACUAGACUGUGUAAAAGUGGUCUCAGUACCAGAAGAAUCAAUAUCAAAACUUGCAAAACUGUUGAUGGAGAACCAAAAGAAGCAUCUAGCGGACACCAAAGUCUCGUAAUCUCGGGUGUAGUUCCGAGCUCAAUUGAAGAGGUCGACAAAGAAGCACCGGACGAUAAGUGCAACGUCUGUGUUGUGCGGACGAUCGUUUCGUGCAACAAGAUCUACAAGCCGUUUGAGUCAUGCCACUUUGGAACUCAAUGAGGGGGAGGAUUGGGGCAGUUGAUCUACAAAGGUUGAUUGGAGAGCCCAUGCGCUAAGCUUGUUAGGCGGUGCUGAUUUAGGUCUGUGUUAAGACUCCCUUCAUUCAUCUUGGCUUUUACACCGCCAUGCAUGUGUCUUGGGGCAAUGCAGAGCAUGUCAAAUUCAUACCACUUGAAAAUUGCACUUUCAGGAGUUGUUUUUGGGAUUGGAAUACAACCAUUUAUGGGGGUCCUUGGCUCUUUCGGCACCAUGUUGUGGUAAUUGAGGAGUAUAAUGGAAUCUGUCACCGUUAACUCCAUAUAAGUAUUUGGGCUCGGAUCAUGGCCUACCGGGCUUGCUGCACAACUGAGCGAUGGCUGGAGCAAUGGCUUCCAAGAUAGGAAAAUUGCACGUCAAGAUCAAACAGGAAAACCCCCUUUGAGGUUCUUACGGUAUGUUGAGCGAGGUAAACAACCACAAAUGUUCCAUGUGUUGUAUGAGAUGUCAUGUUUUUGCACAAAUUACGAUACGAUUGGCCAUGUUACAAAACAGUGCAUGGAUGGGGUUCAUGAUCCAAAGAAGUUUCGGUUUGGCAAUUUUAUGAUGGUUCCAACCUAGGUAUGGUUCUAGGCUGGAAAUUACUUCAUUGCUCAACCUCAUGGUAGCACCACCUGUGGGAGAGGUGGCUGGGUUAGUAGAGGCCAAGGUGGCCAUGGAGGGAAAACUAUGCAUGACUCGACCCGAUGUAUAAGGAGAAAGAUGAUUUUGACCUUGUGAAUAGAAAUACGAGUACAUGAAAUGUGAAUGCAAACAUCCUUAAUUCAAGGGAUUCAGUAAAAAACCAACUUGCGGAGGUUAUUGAUUGCAAGCAACCCCGUGCCGGUCAAGGACCCUUCCUUGUGCCUAGGGGAAGAAAGUGACAUGCAUCAUAGAAUACCAUGAGAGCAAAACUAGGAUGAGGCACUCAGCUAAGGGUUCCUCUUUGCAAGUUCAAGUGAAGGAAAGGUAGAGGAUGGCCGGGGCGUGUCGCUCAUGAUAGCGUUUUCAUUGCUUCCCCAUACCUCAUGUGCACUCUCCAUCCCCUGUCGAUCCGGCUUGGCGUCCUGACCUUGUUUGCGGGUUGUGUGUCACGGACUUGAUGCUGCAUUCCACAUUCCCUUGUUGGGCGUCCCUGGCCUUGGCGGUAGGUAGCAUCGUGCUCUUGGGCGCUUUGCGUCCUUGCGUGAGACAGGGACAACGCCGACUGCUCGUGCUCUUGCUCCACCGUCGGUGGUGUCGGAGUUUGCGGCUAUGGCGACAACCUGCAUAGGAACAUGUGAUGUAGAACAAGGCAGCACACAAAGCAACUCGUAGACAGGCAAAGGAUGCCUACCCGGACCAGCUUGCAGUGGAGAGUACACGGGAGGUGUGGGGGAAGGGAUGAAAACAUUGUCAGGAGUGGACUUCCGCCGUCAUCAGCCUUUGGACCCAGGGCCGAGCAAUAAGGGGAUGGCGAUGCUCCAUACGAGGUGGUAAAACACAAAUGGUAUGGGUUUCUGAAGUGAGGAAGAAGCGAAGAAGACAGGAAGAGGGCAAUGGAAGGAUAAAGGUAUUAUCCGCCACCCUAUGCUUGUGCGCCAGCCGUGACGGUUGGAUCCAUUCUCUACAUGUGGAUUUGCUACUUGGGAGGGCAUGACAUGGUUGUUGUGGAGUGAGGUGCCACACCUAUUGUGCCAUGUGGGUAUGUUUGGUUGUCGGCGGUAGGACACUUCGCUAUGUGCGUUGUCACGUCGUUCGAGAUCCCUUGCGUGGCUCAUUGAUGGUGAAUGCCUUGCACUUAGUAUGGUUGGCAUCGAUGACGAUGACCUCAUCAUGGUGCUACGUCCCUCUCAGUCGUGAUUUUGUCGGUAUGGCAAGGUUGCUUUGUGGUCAGGCUCUGUGGAUGUGGGAGCGAUGGCUUCAUAUGAUGGUUGUAUGCUGAGGUGGCGACCUCGGAUGGCGAUGCAACAACAGUCAAUGGGUAGGUCCUCGGAUCUACAUUGCAUGGGUGGCAUCCUCAUGCUAUGAGGGUAGCGAUUUCGUCGAAACGAUCGACGUGGUCUGCGGGUUCUGUCUGGCUGCUACGUCGGUGUAGUCGACUCAGAUGUUCGGUGCAACGUUUGCGUUCCGCGGUGUAUUGGAAGGGCUACAAGGGUCUGAGGCGUGUGAUUUGUGGUUCGCCUGAGAGUUGGUUAGGUCGGAGCGGCAACCCUAGAUUUGGGUGCUUGUGUUUAGUGCAACUGUUGCCUGUGUCUUGUUGUCGACGAGGCUUUCUCUCGACGAAUUUGCUUAUGUGGCAAGUAGUUCAUGAGGAGAGAGAUGUUUGUGGUAACAUAAUAUGUUACUGUAAUGUAGCGCUUCCCAAGGCAAUAUGAGUCUACUAGCUAAUAAAUGAAGCCAUCUAUAAUACUACCAUGUUACUUUGCACUAUGGAGAUAGUAACUUGGGCUAGUUUCAUAUGCGUGACACUAGUAUAAGUUACUCCCCACUAUGACCAACCUUACUAAGCAAGGUUUAGCCGACCUACCACUAAUCUACUACUCCCUAGCUAAGUAAAUAUAACACAAGGAUUACUACUGCUAACAGUACCUUCUAUGAUGGAAUUACUGUAUACUAACUUAUGUCCUCCACUGUUUAGCUUUAUGCUAUCUUGUGUGCAACCUUUCCCUCCUUUUAUGUAUUUAGCUCUGCAACUGAAUCUUUGAAAAUGUGUCAUGCCUCAUUGUUCUAUAUAAUCUUUGUAAUAUUGCAAUGCUAGUUUUAGAUAUGCUUCUAGUGGUUUGCAGAACUACCGUAUGUCGAAGCCACGGUGGGCUUCGAAGAAAGUGUGAUGUAAUGGUGUUCCAUCUAUUAUUUUUGGAAUGCUUCCUAGUGUGUACACUUGUACCACAUGUCCUGUUUGCUUUCGUAAUUUUUUGUUCCGUAAUUUCUUCUUCGAACGAAGUAUGAAGCAGUUUGUCCUUGUCGCUAUCCAUCCUUUCACGAUCAUCUAGAUUCUCUCAAGCUACACCAUCGACACCCAGGAUUUUGAAAUGGCCUUACAACAAAUCACAUAAGGCACCUCUGAUAAAUUGGAUGAUUGAGUCUAUGGGUUCCUGUUUUCUCUUUGGUCUCAUACUUGUUAUGCCUUGACUUGCUCUGGCCAAGAAACUGGUUGGAUCUAGAUUGUCUGUUCUGUGAUGGAAUUAGUGUUUGCUACUCCCUCCGAUCCAUAUUAAUUUGGACAUGCUGAUAUGUACCCAACGCCCCACUAUUUAGCUCGAUGUUAUCUUGUGUGCAAUGUGUGGUUCUUAAUUUCUGUUGUAGAUAAUGUCGGGUCAACCUUUUUCCCCCAUUUUUUGUAACUGAAUCUUUGAAUAUAUGCUGUGCCUUGUCGUUUUCCAUAAGCUAUGUUAAUUUGCAUUGGCUUGUUCUAUGCAAGAACAGGUUUUAGAUUUGUUUACCGGUGGUCUGUAGAACUGCUGUAUGUUUGCGGCAAGGGUUGUAAUAAGUCAUGCAUGUAAUGUUUCAUCUAUUUUUUGUGAUGCUUUCUGGUGGCUACAUAUCAUCCUGUGUACUACUUGCUUUUGUAAUUUAUUCUUUAUUAUUGGAUUUCUUGAGAAAUACAAUUUGUAGCACAAUUGCCCUUA
Molecule: long non-coding RNA, 6805 nt
Organism: Aegilops tauschii subsp. strangulata
Lineage: Eukaryota; Viridiplantae; Streptophyta; Magnoliopsida; Poales; Poaceae
Source: RefSeq, a predicted model, not a curated record